UCUCUUACAGGCAAUGGUAAAUUGAUCUCCCUGUGAAAAGCAGGGAUAACCCCAUAAGACGAGAAGACCCUGUGGAACUUUAAAAACAGCAACCAACCCUUACAUACAUCACCCCACCAGGGUUCACUUAUAUUCACAGGACAUUGGUUUGCAUUUUUUCGGUUGGGGCGACCUUGGAGCAAAACCAAACCUCCAAACAUUAGACCACAUCUCUAAACCAAGAGCAACCUCUCAACGUGCUAAAAGCUCCCAGACCCAAUAUAAUUGAUCAAUGGACCAAGCUACCCCAGGGAUAACAGCGCAAUCUCCCCCGAGAGUCCAUAUCGACAGGGAGGUUUACGACCUCGAUGUUGGAUCAGACAUCCUAGUGGCUG
Molecule: ribosomal RNA, 374 nt
Filed under: Aegithalos caudatus (Northern long-tailed tit)
Lineage: Eukaryota; Metazoa; Chordata; Aves; Passeriformes; Aegithalidae
Description: partial 16S Ribosomal RNA
Rfam family: Bacterial large subunit ribosomal RNA
Source: RNAcentral